GAUGAACGCUGGCGGCGUGCCUAAUACAUGCAAGUCGAGCGAACGGACGAGAAGCUUGCUUCUCUGAUGUUAGCGGCGGACGGGUGAGUAACACGUGGAUAACCUACCUAUAAGACUGGGAUAACUUCGGGAAACCGGAGCUAAUACCGGAUGAUAUUUUGAACCGCAUGGUUCAAAAGUGAAAGACGGUCUUGCUGGCACUUAUAGAUGGAUCCGCGCUGCAUUAGCUGGUUGGUAAGGUAACGGCCUACCAAGGCAACGAUGCAUAGCCGACCUGAGAGGGGGGUCGGCCACAUUGGAACGUGGCCAGCGUCCAGGCUCCUGCGGGAGGCCGCAGUAGGGAAUGUUACGCAGUGGGGGAAAGCCUGGCGGAGCAACGGCGAGUGAGUUGUAGAGGUGCUCGGAGCGUAAAACCCUGUUAUUAGGGAAGAACAUAUGUGUAAGUAACUGUGCACAUCUUGACGGUACCUAAUCAGAAAGCCACGGCUAACUACGUG
This 497-nucleotide ribosomal RNA is filed under the name uncultured bacterium. RNAcentral describes it as "partial 16S ribosomal RNA". It matches the Rfam family "Bacterial small subunit ribosomal RNA", at positions 28 to 507 of the family's 1533-position model. The record is from RNAcentral.